RNA transcript from Epinephelus moara (kelp grouper), 5571 nucleotides. It is a transcript of the gene named trichohyalin, with no coding region annotated. The transcript is spliced from 31 exons. The record is from RefSeq and is a predicted model, not a curated record. NCBI's taxonomy places the organism in Eukaryota, Metazoa, Chordata, Actinopteri, Perciformes, Serranidae.
UGGGCAGCAGCUGUGUAUUUCAGCUACAAGAGUGAAGUUCAGCAUCGAUUUAAACUUUCUUCUGGAGCAGUAGGACAUGGCAGACAGAGGCCAUGUUGGAGCAGAGAGAGAAGCAGAGGACACAGAUGAGCUUCUUUACACAGAUCUCAAUGACAACAGCAGUGUGUCUGGACUGGACUCUCCUCUGCCCAAACUGGAUCACUGUGACCUUCUAUUAGAUGCUAUUGAUGCUCAGCUUGGUCAGCUGCAGGUCCAGCCCCAGGAACGUAAGGUGUUUUCCAGAGAGCGCCACUGCAGUGAUGCAGCACCUCUCAGCUGGAGUCAAUCUCUGAGCAAAGACACAGGGCUCGGGAGCACAACUCAAACAAACGACACUCCCAUGUCUUGUCUUGAGUUGAUACACACUGCGACAAUGGAGCAAACAUCAGAGAGAAGCACAGGCAGCCGGGGAGGUCCUGUCACUCACAAGGGCACCAACCAGAAAUUAGACAGAAGACCAAGAGACAAAGAGGAAAUAGAUUCUCAGCGGGAGCAGGUUAUCUGGAGACUCGAGAGGCUGCUUGGAGACACCUGUAACGAGGGAAGGAUGCCAGGAGAAACUCACCCUCCUUCAGACAGCAUCUGCACUGAAGACUUUGUCAGAUGCUUCAGAGACGAGAUGUUGGAAUUGGCAUUGCCAGCGAAUAAUAUGCAGCCACUACACAAAGAGGACGUGACUGAGAGGACAGAGAUAUCUGACUGCAACACUUGCCAGAGUGCACAAAAUGGACCCAGUAUUCCUAAUGUGGACAGAGGGGGAUCAGCAACAACUAGGAAAUUCAAUAAAGACACAGGGAAUGCUCACUAUUGUCAAAGACAGGAACUGGAGAAAUGUCUCUAUGACAGCUACGGAGUAAAUACAUCAUGUAGCGAGAGAGCAGGAGAGAGAUACAGCACACCAAAGAAGUCUGAUGACGACAUUAGGAUCUCUCACAGAACAGAGGUCGUAACAGAACAUGAAACUCUGCAACAGACCAACUCUGCAGCUCCUAAGGCCAGGUGCUUGGCAGGAGUACCUGUGCGGAGUUUUGACACCGUGUCCAUUGACAGUGACCUCGACUCAGUCUGCACAGAGCAGGUCAGGCAGUAUAUUCACAGGCGGCCAGGAUGGCGCUCUCUCAUUCAGUCUGUCACAGGCAUGGAUGACGACUGUACAAACCACAGUGACUAUGACACACCCACACAGGAAGACAGUGAACCUCAGUCUACAACAGCCCAGAUAUCCUGUUAUGGAAAUGUGCACAACAGAAGUCCCUCUGUCCGUAAAGCACAGCGUCAUAAGAAAGAAACCAAAUGGCGACUUGUGCAUUCUUCGGGUAACAAUGACAAGGACACAGAUAAGGAAAUGAAUCUGUCGAACAGGAGAUGCCGGCCUGAGAGGACGUCAGAGAAGAUGCAGUCUGACUGGGCCAAGAUGAAAGAGCGUCUCUCUGCACUCAGACAAAAAUGUGAGAAGGAGGAGCAGACACUACAGAAAAAGAAGACUCAGUUGAAAGAUGUAGAGCUCUCCCUCUCUGAACUUCAACAGAGAAGAAAACAUGCCUUGCAGGAGUUAGAGCAACUGACUGUAGAAACAGCAAAGAUGGAGAAGGAGAGGACGACUCUGGACGUUAUUAGUGACGAGCUGCCCGAGCUGCAGAAGCAGAGCGAGUUCUGUAUUCUUGAGGUAAGAGACGUGAAAAGGGAGCUCACAACCUCGUGUCAAUGUAAACUGACUGUAAAGGAUGGAGCCUUCAUGCAGAGGCCCAGCGUCAUCAUGUCAGUGCUGGAGAGGGAGGAGAUGGAGAGGCAGCUGGAUAACGCCAAAACAGAGCUGUUUGCUGAACAGCGACGUGCAAGAGAAAAGCUAGAGUCCAUGCAGGAAAAGUUGGAGGAAACUCGUGAGGAGCUCCAGAGGGUCACAGAGGCAGAGAGCUCACUGAGGAACAGGUGUGAUCAUCUGGAGGAGAAACAGAGGCAGAAAAAGGAUCAGAUGGAGGCAGCAGAGUUUCAAGUGCACGAGCUGCAGCAUGAACUGGGAGAAUGCAAGAUCAGAGUGGGCACUCAGGAGAAGAUGUUGGCCCAGAAGGAGCUGCAGCUGCUCGAUUUACAUGAGCAGCGUGAGGCCUUACAAGCAGAGAGAGAUGGACUGAAGAGGGAGCUGCAACACCUGAAAACCCAGCACUGCAAUGCACAGAAAGAAGCCCACGAGCAAGCCCGAAGAAUGACGGAGGUUGCAUUGAAACAGCAAAAGAAAGAGUUGGCUUUGGCUCAUGAGCAGCAAAUCCAAAAGGUUCAUAAGCAGACUGAGGAGGAGAAAGCACACGCUUUGAGAGAACAAGCUCUGUCUCUCACACGGCACAUUGAGUCCUUGAAAAGUUCCAUUCAGCUAAAAGUAGAGGAGGCAAAUAAGCUGAAGGACUCUCUGGAGCAGCAGAAGGAGGAGGCAAAGAACCGUGAAGAGGAGCUGCAUCUAGCAGCCACGAAGCAGGUGCACAAAGCAGUAGAGGAGGAGAGGAGGAAGUGGGAGGCAGAGAAGAUGGAAGCAGUGCAGGCACACUGUGGAAUACUUGAGGAGCAGAAUAGAAAGAGCCUGGAGAGCAUGAGGAGUGAGAUGCAGCGAGAGAAGAGUAAAGCACUGGCUUUUCAACAUAAAGCGGUGGAAUUAAAAACUAGAGUACAGGAGUUGGAGAGUGAAAGCUGUGUGCAGCAGAGAGAGCAGGAGUCUUUGCUGGCUGUUAUCUGCAAAUCACUAAAAGAGGAGCACCAGGCUGAGCUGGAGAAGUUGCGGAGACAGAUGGCACAGGAGAGUCAGAGAGCGGUGCUGCGGCUCCAACAGGCUGUUCAGCUGGCAGAGAAGGAAGCUGACAGACUCCAGGUGAUGCUAGACGAAAGAGAGAGCAGCCAUAACCAAAUUACAGCUGAGCUGGAACAAAAGCUCCGGCACUGGGCCCAGGAGCUGGGAGCAGAGUGCCAGCAACUACACCUCUUAGUGGAGCAGAGUGGAGCCAAACAAAGUUCUGUGCAGCUUCCUCACAGUCCUACAGCAGCUGAGGCUCUAACAAACCUGAGAACACUAAAAGAGCAGCUGAAGCACGUGACUAACCAUCUACAGCAGGAGCUCGACUCACAGAAACAAACCUCUGAGCAGCUGAGAAAGGACAAGGAGCGAGAACUGAGCAUCCAGAGGCAACAGCUGAGGAUGGACAGAGACCAGGCCUUGGAUUCUCUGAAGGAGCGUCUCAUUCAGGAGCACAUUGAGGAGCUGAGCAGUCUGAACUGGCCUCAUAUGUGUGAUGGAGGAGCUGAGGGAGGAGUGGCAGCAUCGCUUCGCAAACAGCUGAAGGCCAAAGACCUGGAGCUGAGGCAGGUUCAGAGGAGCAUGGCUCAGUGGAAGGAACAGACCGCCACUCGUCUGGCAUGCAAGUUUGAAGAAGAGUUGACAGCUGAACUGGAAAGGUGCAAGACAAAGUUAUUGAGGGGCAGAAAACCAUCAAAGUCUCGAGAGGAGAGGCAUAAAAAGCCUGAGAGGCCUGAAGCAGAGAUGACACUUAGUGUAAAGGAAGCUCAGACUUUAGUCUGCUCUCCCUCCCUCCAUGUUGUGGACUCUGCUGCCUCCCACAGCCCCUCAGACGUGGCUUCAUUUAAGCUUCUACGUUACCUUCAGAGCAGAGUCAAGCAGCUCCAUGUUGAAAACCAGGCGUACAUGUGUAGCCCAUCGCCUUCAAAUACAGUCUCUGUAGAUCUGUCAGGAUCAUAUCUUACAACAGCUCACAAAAGGGCGUAUCUCUGACAACCAAUCACAUCUGUUAAAAGCAAGCAUCACACCUAGCAACAGAGUCAACCACACCUCCCCACCAAGAUCACUCAAGGUCAAGACAUUGCUGGGAUUCAGAGUCACUCAUCACUGAGGACAGUGUCGAGUUAACAACAUGAAGCCCUACUGUGUGUGUGUGUUACAUACAGCAGUGAUGUAAUGCACCUCAAGCUAUUUUUGCGGCCACAGGAAUGAAUCAUUUACUGUUACAUGUGCUUAUGAUUGCAGAUUAACAAGCAGGUCACAGUGACAAAUGACACAACAGAAGAUUUGGUCAUUAAGUUUACAUUCCUCUGUGUCAAGGCAGUGAAACUUUAUGGCGUCAGGUUACAGUGAACUCUGAAUGAGUGAUGAACCGACAUUUCACAGAACAUCAUGUGAGUUAUGUCAGAGAAUCUCAUAAAGCUGACGGGUCUUUGUGGGAAUCCCGUGUAUAAUCAUAAAUGUUACAAGAUGUUUAACUGCACAAUAAAGAUAUUCUGCAGAUCUCUGGCGAGUUCAAACUGAAUUAUGUCAUUAGCAUUUAAUGUAAUAUCUUAAUCAACUGAGAAAUGUCCUGAUUUUAAUGUAAAAUAAUUCACUGAGGAUUGAUGCCAGAUUUUUUGAAAGAUGGCUCCCCUUUAAUCACAUGUGCUGUCACAAAGGCAGUCUGUUUGGUCUUUCCUGUGGUAUCAAAAAUAUUUUAGGGGGAAUACAGGAACAGCGCCGAUUCAUUUAACAUCUGCUUCAUAUACGAGGUCAGCACUGAGACACUCAGGAAGGAGCUUCUACCCUCAGGCUUCAAAGAUCCUAAAUAAAGACUGUGCUAAUGUUUUGGCUGAUCAGUGUAUAUGUAUGUAUUGUCACUUGCGUUGUUCCUCAGGGUUUAAUCCUGGGACCCCUUCUCUUCCUAAUAUAAGCCCUGUUUCCACCAAACACUUUCGAUAUGGUACCACUGAAACCAAAAGUAACCUUUAAGACAGGGUUCCUAGACCCCAGUGUUUCCGUCACAAACAGUACUCUUAAAUGUGGGUGGGUUGUUGUCACUCACUGCUUCAUCCAUCACUCACUGUAUUUCGUCUUCAGUCCAUCAGUCUACACCUCAUUUAUCGUCCACUGAACAAGGUUGCACGCCGACAUUUUCAGAACAAAAUAAACAGGCUGCAGUGAGAGUCUUUCACCAUGGGAUAUUUAAAAAUAGUGGGUUUGUGCAUUUAGUCCUUUAGCUCAAGUUUAGUUUAGUGUGGCUUACAGGAACGAUGCUCCGCAACGCUUUUUUAUUCUCCGAGUGAGAAUUAGAAUAUAUGCUGUUCACAUAAUCUGGUCGAAAUUAGUAAAAGCGUAGGUCAUCCAAGAGAGACAAUACAAACUAAUGGAGUGGUCAAAGGUGUCACAUUGAAAUUUAAGGUAUGCUGAUGGAUUCACAUCGUCACCUCAUACAUUGAGCAACAUGACAAGUAAACAUUCCACCUUAAAAAUUGGAGACAGUCGGCCCAGUGAAUUAUUUUUCUCAGACCACAGCUGCUCAAGAGACAGCAAAACAUCCUUUCAUUUUAUAAUUACAGUUAACUAAUAUAUGUAACUCUCCAUGUUAUGAACAGCAGUUACAUAAACCUCAGCCCUGAGCAGUGUCUGUUUGCUAUUGACCAAUCAACGGACUGCAGUGUUCACAGCUCCACCUUUUAGUACCAGAUCUGUGUGCUAGGUACCCCAACAGAGAGGGGACCAAAAAUGGGGAUGGUACUAAACGGUUCCAU